Molecule: unclassified non-coding RNA, 315 nt
Filed under: plant metagenome
Description: partial contains 5.8S ribosomal RNA, internal transcribed spacer 2, and large subunit ribosomal RNA
Rfam family: 5.8S ribosomal RNA (bases 1-105)
Source: RNAcentral
GAACUGCGAUAAGUAAUGUGAAUUGCAGAAUUCAGUGAAUCAUCGAGUCUUUGAACGCACAUUGUGCCCCCUGGCAUUCCGGGGGGCAUGCCUGUCCGAGCGUCAUUGCUGCCCUUCAAGCCCGGCUUGUGUGUUGGGUCGUCGUCCCCCCCGGGGGACGGACCCGAAAGGCAGCGGCGGCACCGUGUCCGGUCCUCGAGCGUAUGGGGCUUUGUCACCCGCUCGAUUAGGACCGGCCGGGCGCCCGCCGGCGUCAAACCCCAAUCUUUCUAAGGUUGACCUCGGAUCAGGUAGGGAUACCCGCUGAACUUAAGC